Non-coding RNA from Pelobates cultripes (western spadefoot toad), 1117 nucleotides. The record is from the annotation of a GenBank genome assembly. NCBI's taxonomy places the organism in Eukaryota, Metazoa, Chordata, Amphibia, Anura, Pelobatidae.
GUUGCAUUAAAAAUGCAAGUUGACAAUGAAAGAGGUUGAUAUUCCAAAUAAAUUAGAAAAUUCCUAAUGACUUCAUUAAACUUUACAUACACAGUUGCCCCACGGUGAUGCCUCUGCGUUAUACAAUAUACACAGUUCCAGAAAUAGCUUUUGAUUGGCAUUUCUAAAUCAUUUAGCUAACAGUCAAUGCAGCAACUUUCCCCAACGCUCGAGAAGUAAAGUCGCUGCUGGCAGACUACCAGCGCUGCUCUACGGAUUGUCACGUAGGAAGCGGCAAUCUCCACCUCGAAGAAUUAAUCCAAUUUGACUGUCUCGCCUACGCUGUUUAGCAAACAUGCCCGCAAACAAAAACUGGAUAUGCAUGUUGGUUUUGAUUUUGCGAAUUCAUGUGAAAAAUGCCCUGACUAUGUCAAAAGAGGAUGGAGACACCUUCACGGACUGUUGACUACGCCUCGGCAAAACUUUAUAACAGUCCGAAAGACAGAGGGAAAAAAAAGAAAGAAAGAAACCAUUGCGGGUACCUUAAUAAGCAUCACAUCUGCGAGGUCAUUGGGAUAUUUCAAACAACUUUCCACUCUCAUUAGUUUGGCAUUUUUCCCUGCAAGUCCUUAUCUUUUGUAAUUUUUGUAGUGAAACAGCUCUGAGAAAAUUCCCUGAACCAAUAACAUUCCAUGACUUUGGGUCAGUUUGACAUAAUGAGUCUUCAGUGUAUAUGUCCUUUGCUCUUGUAUCCAACAUAUGUUUCCGUUAACCUCUCAUGAGCUGGAACAUCAUCUUCUAUCUGUCUAAAACUGCAUAUCUCAUUAUUUCUAAUUAGGGUCUAAAAGCUGUUACUUUUAUUCAGAAAUCUAGCAUUCCCAGGGCACUGAAUAACUGCAUCUUGCCUCAAAGAUUUUUCCGUCUUCUUUCUCUUCCUUUAUCUUUCAUAACACUGCAUGGAAGUACAUUUCACUACUCAAACUCAAAAAAAUAUAUAUGGUUCUAAAGUCUGUUGAUGACUUAUUUUGGCAUUUCAUUCAAAUUAAUACAUUAUGUAUUAUUUAAAUGUAAUUCUUUUCGGAAUAUAUUUUCAUGCAAUCAAAAUAAACAGUGCUUAUGGUCUUAGAAUGAGCUAAAG